RNAcentral lists this ribosomal RNA (253 nucleotides) under uncultured bacterium. RNAcentral describes it as "partial 16S ribosomal RNA". It matches the Rfam family "Bacterial small subunit ribosomal RNA", at positions 524 to 776 of the family's 1533-position model. The record is from RNAcentral.
UACGUAGGGGGCUAGCGUUGUCCGGAUUCAUUGGGCGUAAAGGGUGCGUAGGCGGCGCGGUAAGUCGGGUGUGAAAUCUCGGAGCUUAACUCCGGAACUGCAUUCGAUACUGCCGUGCUUGAGGACUGGAGAGGAGACUGGAAUUUACGGUGUAGCGGUGAAAUGCGUAGAUAUCGUAAGGAAGACCAGUGGCGAAGGCGGGUCUCUGGACAGUUCCUGACGCUGAGGCACGAAGGCCAGGGGAGCAAACGGG